UACAGAGGGGGCAAGCGUUGUUCGGAAUUACUGGGCGUAAAGGGCGCGUAGGCGGUCUGUUAAGUCGAACGUGAAAUCCCUGGGCUCAACCCAGGAACUGCGUCCGAUACUGGCAGGCUUGAAUCCGGGAGAGGGAUGCGGAAUUCCAGGUGUAGCGGUGAAAUGCGUAGAUAUCUGGAGGAACACCGGUGGCGAAGGCGGCAUCCUGGACCGGCAUUGACGCUGAGGCGCGAAAGCCAGGGGAGCAAACGGG
This 253-nucleotide ribosomal RNA is filed under the name uncultured bacterium. RNAcentral describes it as "partial 16S ribosomal RNA". It matches the Rfam family "Bacterial small subunit ribosomal RNA", at positions 524 to 776 of the family's 1533-position model. The record is from RNAcentral.